GUUGACAGCUAGCGCAUUUCCCGCUCCACUCUCCCUCCCUUCAUAAAUUUAAGAUCAACAAUAUAAAGUUACUUACAUAUGAGGCGCCCGGAGCCAGAGGGAACCAACCCACACGAACCUACUUUCGAGAAAAACGCGUUUAAAGUUGAACAAUUAAUACUACCGUAAGAUCGGUCACAAUAUUAUCAUAUUAUACAUCAUUGGAAAGGCCUCGGCAAGACCUGUCAUGCCAUGUGUUUUUUAAUAGUAUAUUCUAUGUUUUAACUUUUACAGAGAUUAUUAUAAAUACCCCUACACCCGUAGCGGAAAUUUUUUUCCCAGGAAGGUUAUGUUUUAGGUUCAUUUUUUCAAAGUGUAUGAUAAAACAAGCAUUAUGUAAAAAAAUUAUGACGAUAUGCUUUUAACUCGAUUUUUUACGAAUUUUUUUUAUGAGCGAAUAAAGCAAUAUUUCCCCCUAGCGCAACUUUUAUUCCCGAAAAUGUUUUAUUUCCCUAUUUUCUCUUCAUUUCUGAAGAGAUUAUAGUGUGAGAUGUAUCUGUAUAGAAGAUUGUGAUAUUGUAUUUUAAAAUUUAUUUUCUAUGAUUU
Molecule: long non-coding RNA, 585 nt
Organism: Portunus trituberculatus (swimming crab)
Lineage: Eukaryota; Metazoa; Arthropoda; Malacostraca; Decapoda; Portunidae
Exons: 2
Source: RefSeq, a predicted model, not a curated record